Molecule: ribosomal RNA, 497 nt
Filed under: uncultured bacterium
Lineage: Bacteria
Description: partial 16S ribosomal RNA
Rfam family: Bacterial small subunit ribosomal RNA
Source: RNAcentral
GAUGAACGCUGGCGGCGUGCCUAAUACAUGCAAGUCGAGCGAACAGACGAGGAGCUUGCUCCUUCGACGUUAGCGGCGGACGGGUGAGUAACACGUAGGUAACCUACCUAUAAGACUGGGAUAACUUCGGGAAACCGGAGCUAAUACCGGAUAAUAUUUCGAACCGCAUGGUUCGAUAGUGAAAGAUGGCUUUGCUAUCACUUAUAGAUGGACCUGCGCCGUAUUAGCUAGUUGGUAAGGUAACGGCUUACCAAGGCAACAAUACGUAGCCGACCUGAGAGGGUGAUCGGCCACACUGGAACUGAGACACGGUCCAGACUCCUACGGGAGGCAGCAGUAGGGAAUCUUCCGCAAUGGGCGAAAGCCUGACGGAGCAACGCCGCGUGAGUGAUGAAGGUCUUCGGAUCGUAAAACUCUGUUAUUAGGGAAGAACAAACGUGUAAGUAACUGUGCACGUCUUGACGGUACCUAAUCAGAAAGCCACGGCUAACUACGUG